This 426-nucleotide ribosomal RNA is filed under the name uncultured Gammaproteobacteria bacterium. RNAcentral's name for it is "bacterial SSU rRNA". It matches the Rfam family "Bacterial small subunit ribosomal RNA", at positions 356 to 774 of the family's 1533-position model. Lineage: Bacteria; Pseudomonadati; Pseudomonadota; Gammaproteobacteria. The record is from RNAcentral.
GGGGAAUAUUGCGCAAUGGGGGAAACCCUGACGCAGCAAUACCGCGUGGGUGAAGAAGGCCUUCGGGUUGUAAAGCCCUUUUGUUGGGAAAGAAAAGCAGCCGGCCAAUACACGGUUGUUCUGACGGUACCCAAAGAAUAAGCACCGGCUAACCCCGUGCCAGCAGCCGCGGUAAUACGGAGGGUGCGAGCGUUAAUCGGAAUUACUGGGCGUAAAGCGUGCGCAGGCGGUUUGUUAAGCGAGAUGUGAAAGCCCCGGGCUCAACCUGGGAUGGUCAUUUCGAACUGGCAAGCUAGAGUCUCGUAGAGGUGGGUAGAAUUCCAGGUGUAUCGGUGAAAUGCGUAGAGAUCUGGAGGAAUACCGGUGGCGAAGGCGGCCCCCUGGACGAAGACUGACGCUCAGGCACGAAAGCGUGGGGAGCAAACA